RNAcentral lists this non-coding RNA (42 nucleotides) under Schistosoma mansoni. The record is from RNAcentral. Lineage: Eukaryota; Metazoa; Platyhelminthes; Trematoda; Strigeidida; Schistosomatidae.
AAGAUGACAAGUCCAAAAUAGGACGAAACGCGCGUCUUGAAU